AGUGAACGCUGGCGGUAGGCCUAACACAUGCAAGUCGAACGGCAGCACAGGAGAGCUUGCUCUCUAGGUGGCGAGUGGCGGACGGGCGAGACAUACAUCGGAAUCUGCCCAGUCGUGGGGGAUAACGUAGGGAAACUUACGCUAAUACCGCAUACGUCCUUCGGGUGAAAGAGGGGGAUCGCAAGACCUCUCGCGAUGGGAUGAGCCGGUGUCGUCUUAGCUGGUUAGCGGGGUAAUGGCCCACCAAGGCGGCGAUCCGUAUCUGAUCUGAGAGGGGGAUGGCCGGCAUGGGAACUUGGACACGCUCCAGACGCCUGCGGGAGGCCGCAGUGGGGAACAUUGGACAAUGGGCGCGAGCCUUAUCCAGUCAUACCGAGUGUGUGAAGAAGGCCUUCGGGUUGUAAAGCCCGUUUGUGGGGAAAGAAACCCUUCAGGCUAAGACCCUGCGAGAAUGACGGUACCCAAAGAAUAAGCACCGGCUAACUUCGUG
Molecule: ribosomal RNA, 490 nt
Filed under: uncultured bacterium
Lineage: Bacteria
Description: partial 16S ribosomal RNA
Rfam family: Bacterial small subunit ribosomal RNA
Source: RNAcentral